Molecule: long non-coding RNA, 3468 nt
Filed under: Salmo salar (Atlantic salmon)
Lineage: Eukaryota; Metazoa; Chordata; Actinopteri; Salmoniformes; Salmonidae
Description: lncRNA (ENSSSAG00000114654.1)
Source: RNAcentral
ACAGGUGCAAGGGGUGAGUUUAAUAAUACAAGAAACAUGGAACGAUGCAAAACAAGAGUAGCAUCUGGACAUGAUGCACAUAAACAAUACUGCCUGGGGAAUGGAAAUAAGGGAGUGACAGAUAUAGGGGAGGUAAUCCGUGAAAUUAUGGAGUCCAGGUGUGUCUCAUGAGGCGCAGGUCCGCGUAAUGAUGGUGACAGGUGUGCGUAUUGAUGGUUGUCAGAGCCAGUGAUUAGUAAACCAGCAAUGUUGAACGACGGAGACGGAGAGCGGCAGUAGACGAAACACGGAAGACCUGCUGGAACAGUGCCAAUACUGAUUACCUCCGGCCUGAGAAGGGAGACAUGAAAGGAAGGUGAGAUGCGGUAGUCACUGGGGAGCUGUAAUCUAUACAUCACCUCGUUGACCCUCCGGAGAACCUUGAAUGGCCCCACAAACUGGGGGCUCAGCUUCUUGCAGAGCAGGUGGAGUGGGAGGUUCCUGGUGGAGAGCCAGAUGCAAAUACCAGGAUGGAACACAGCAGCCUCCCGUCGGUGUCAAUCCGCCUGCCCCUUCUGAUGGUGGACGGUGCACUGGAGUCUCACGUGGGCAUUGCUCCACACUUCUUCUGCGCGCCUGAUCCACUCAUCCACCGCAGGAGCUUCGGUCUGACCCGGGGUCCACGGAGCCAGGGCCGGCUGAUAUCCCAGAACAUGCUGGAAGAGUGUCAGCCCGGUGGAGGAGUGAUGUAACGAAUUCUGGGCAUACUCCACCCAGGGAAGGAACCGGGCCCACUCCCCCUGCCGGUCCUGGCAGUGGCUUCUCAGGAACCUCCCCAGCUCCUGGUCCAACCUCUCCACCUGCCCAUUAGACUGAAGCCUAUAGCCGGAAAUGGGGGCCAUGGUCGGAGACGAUGUCCUUCGGAUAGGCCAUAAUGCCGGAAGACCUGCUGGAACAGUGCCUUAGUGACCUGGAGAGCAGUAUGGAGACCAGAGAGAGGGAUAAAACGACAGGAUUUGGAGAAUCUAUCCACAGCCACCAUCGGGGGGGGGGGGAAUCAGUGACAAAAUCAAUGGAUAGAUGAGACCAGGGACGCUGAUGCACGGGAAGGGGAAGGAGUUUCUCUGCUGGAGCGUGCCAGGGGGGAUUUAGUUUGGGCAGACACAGAACAGGAGUUGACGUAGUGAAUAACGUCCUGCGCCAAGGUGGGCCACCAAUACGUUUCGGAGAGAGAUUAAAUAGUACGGUUGAUCCCUGGAUGUCCAGUGACGACAUCUGCGUGCACCCAGGUCAGCAGCCGAUCCCUUAUCCCUGUGGGAACGUAGAUGCACUCAGGAGGACAGGUAGUGGGUGCGGGUUCCCUCUCCAGAGCCUGACGAAUGUCCACAUCUACGUCCCAGACCACAGGGGCUACGACUUGAGAGGGGACGGGAAAGCAGGUCCUCCGGCAUUCGGGUGACCAGUCCAUGAUUCUCAUCCUCGACCAUGAGAUGGUGGGGUUAUGGCAUUGGAGCCAUGGGAGGCCGAGGAUGAUGUUGUGAGCUGGUGAACUAAUGAUGAAGAAGGGAAUAUUUUCCUGAUGAAUGGACUCCACGAUGACGGUGUGUGAUGGUUCCGGAUCCUAGUGGCCGAUUAACAACGGCUUGAACCGAACACUGAGAGGAGAGCGUGUAUGAGAUUAUGUUCAGAGGGGGGCAAAGGUCUGGUCAAUAAAGUUCCCGGCUGCACCGGAAUCCACUAGCGCUGUAGAAACAGUACAUGAAGGUGUCUGCAAAAACACUACACUUUUGUAACUAUAGUAAAUACUGCAGUAUUUAAUUUGCAUAGUUUGUGCCACCCAUAAGUGAGAAACCUACAUGCCAAGUAUAGACCAUAUAUUGUGUUCACUAGAGGUUAUAGAAAAGAGCAGAAGCUCUGAACUGUCUGUUCAAACCCCAGUCAUACCUACCUACCUAAUUACUUACAGGUUAUGGAAAAUGUGUUCUAUUAGUAUUUUUCCAUUAGAUUUCCUGAAGGAGAAAACAUCCACUUCUACAUCAAAGAUAAUACAACAAAAACACUAUAGUAAAUACUACAGUAAUGUCCACAGUUCUCUUUUACUACAGUAUUUAUACUAGAGCUAACUGUAAAUACAACAGUAUUCUACAGUGAGUACUACAGUAAAGUCCACAAAAACACUACUGUGAAUACUGUAGAAUUUAUAUCAUAACAUACUAUAGUAUUUCUUCAUGUGGGUAUAUCUCACUCAUCUUCUUAUCCGGAAAGAGCAGAUUUGAUAUCUAUGUUUACGUCCCAAGUGGCACCCUAUUCUCUAUGUAGUGCACUACAUUUGACCGAGACCAUUAGGGCUCUGGUCAAAAGCAAUGCACUAUAUAAGGAAUAGGGUGCCACUUGGCACACAACCUAUGUCUAUGUAUUCUAUCUAUUCCUGUAAUUACCCCACCACUCUAAUCAUGACAUUAUGAUGCAACCUCUGGUGAAAUGGCCAAACAGAUGUCUCAUUCUUCAGGUGAAAUGGCCAAGCAGAUGUCUCAGUCUUCAGGUGAAAUGGCUAAACAGAUGUCGCAGUCUUCAGGUGAAAUGGCCAAACAAAUGUCUCAGUCUUCAGGUGAAAUGGCCAAAAAGAUGUCGCAGUCUUCAGGUGAAAUGGCCAAACAGAUGUCUCAGUCUUCAGCUUAAAUGGCAAAAAAGAUGUCUCAGUCUUCAGGUGAAAUGGCAAAAAAAUAUGUCUCAGUCUUCAGGUGAAAUGGUCAAACAGAUGUCUCAUUCUUCAGGUGAAAUUGCCAAAAAGUUGUCUCAGUCUUCAGGUGAAAUGGCCACACAGAUGUCUCAGUCUUCAAGUGAAAUGACAAAACAGAUAUCUCAGUCUUGAGGUGAAAUGGCCAAACAGAUGUCUCAGUCUUCAGUUGAAAUGGCCAAACAGAUGUCUCAUUCUUCAGUUGAAAUGGCCAAACAGAUGUCUCAUUCUUCAGGUGAAAUGACAAAACAGAUGUCUCAGUCUUGAGGUGAAAUGAUCAAACAGAUGUCUCAGUCUUCAGGUGAAAUGGCCAAACAGAUGUCUCAGUCUUCAGGUGAAAUGGCCAAAAAGAUGUCUCAGUCUUCAGGUGAAAUUGCCAAACAGAUGUCUCAGUCUUCGAUCAGAAACCUAUAUAACCAAAAUAGUACUACUGUAGUGCAUGGUCUUAUGAAGUAUUGGAGUUGCACUCCUGCUCUGGAAGAUAUGAAGUUGUGGCCAUGUUCGAGAGCAUCACUUCUGCUAUAGAAGAUAUGAAGUUAUGGCCAUGUUCGAGAGCGUCACUUCUGCUCUAGAAGAUAUGAAGUUAUGGCCAUGUUCGAGAGCAUCACUCCUGCUCUAGAAGAUAUGAAGUUAUGGCCAUGUUCGAGAGCAUCACUCCUGCUCUAGAAGAUAUGAAGUUAUGGCCAUGUUCGAGAGCAUCACUUCUGCUCUAGAAGAUAUGAAGUUAUGGCCAUGUUCGAGAGCAUCACUUC